CAGCCGCCGCGGUAAUACGUAGGUGGCAAGCGUUGUCCGGAAUUAUUGGGCGUAAAGGGCUCGCAGGCGGUUUCUUAAGUCUGAUGUGAAAGCCCCCGGCUCAACCGGGGAGGGUCAUUGGAGACUGGGGAACUUGAGUGCAGAAGAGGAGAGUGGAAUUCCACGUGUAGCGGUGAAAUGCGUAGAGAUGUGGAGGAACACCAGUGGCGAAGGCGACUCUCUGGUCUGUAACUGACGCUGAGGAGCGAAAGCGUGGGGAGCGAACAGGAUUAGAUACCCCCGUAGUCCCUGUCUCUUAUAC
RNAcentral lists this ribosomal RNA (301 nucleotides) under uncultured bacterium. RNAcentral describes it as "partial 16S ribosomal RNA". It matches the Rfam family "Bacterial small subunit ribosomal RNA", at positions 509 to 807 of the family's 1533-position model. The record is from RNAcentral.